Molecule: ribosomal RNA, 398 nt
Filed under: uncultured bacterium
Lineage: Bacteria
Description: bacterial SSU rRNA
Rfam family: Bacterial small subunit ribosomal RNA
Source: RNAcentral
AGGUCUUGACAUCCCGAUGAAACACCUAGAGAUAGGUGCCCUCUUCGGAGCAUUGGAGACAGGUGGUGCAUGGUUGUCGUCAGCUCGUGUCGUGAGAUGUUGGGUUAAGUCCCGCAACGAGCGCAACCCUUGGAUUUAGUUGCCAGCAUUAAGUUGGGCACUCUAGAUCGACUGCCGGUGACAAACCGGAGGAAGGCGGGGAUGACGUCAAAUCAUCAUGCCCCUUAUGACCUGGGCUACACACGUACUACAAUGGCCGGUACAACGGGAAGCGAAACCGCGAGGUGGAGCGAAUCUUUAGAAGCCGGUCUCAGUUCGGAUUGCAGGCUGCAACUCGCCUGCAUGAAGUCGGAAUUGCUAGUAAUCGCGGAUCAGCAUGCCGCGGUGAAUACGUUCCC